This 571-nucleotide ribosomal RNA is filed under the name Salmonella enterica subsp. enterica serovar Typhi. RNAcentral describes it as "partial 23S ribosomal RNA". It matches the Rfam family "Bacterial large subunit ribosomal RNA", at positions 1 to 585 of the family's 2925-position model. Lineage: Bacteria; Pseudomonadati; Pseudomonadota; Gammaproteobacteria; Enterobacterales; Enterobacteriaceae. The record is from RNAcentral.
GGUUAAGCGACUAAGCGUACACGGUGGAUGCCCUGGCAGUCAGAGGCGAUGAAGGGCGUGCUAAUCUGCGAUAAGCGCCGGUAAGGUGAUAUGAACCGUUAUAACCGGCGAUACCCGAAUGGGGAAACCCAGUGUGAUUCGUCACACUAUCAUUAACUGAAUCCAUAGGUUAAUGAGGCGAACCGGGGGAACUGAAACAUCUAAGUACCCCGAGGAAAAGAAAUCAACCGAGAUUCCCCCAGUAGCGGCGAGCGAACGGGGAGGAGCCCAGAGCCUGAAUCAGCAUGUGUGUUAGUGGAAGCGUCUGGAAAGGCGCGCGAUACAGGGUGACAGCCCCGUACACAAAAGCGCAUAUGCUGUGAGCUCGAUGAGUAGGGCGGGACACGUGGUAUCCUGUCUGAAUAUGGGGGGACCAUCCUCCAAGGCUAAAUACUCCUGACUGACCGAUAGUGAACCAGUACCGUGAGGGAAAGGCGAAAAGAACCCCGGCGAGGGGAGUGAAAAAGAACCUGAAACCGUGUACGUACAAGCAGUGGGAGCCCCACCACUAAGCCAGUGGUGAACUCCACAU